UCCCAGGUAGCUCAGCUGGCAGAGCAGGUGACUGUUAAUCACCUUGUCGGGGGUUCGAAUCCCUCCCUGGGAGCCA
This 76-nucleotide transfer RNA is filed under the name hydrothermal vent metagenome. RNAcentral describes it as "tRNA-Asn-GTT". It matches the Rfam family "tRNA". Rfam says of the family: Transfer RNA (tRNA) molecules are approximately 80 nucleotides in length. Their secondary structure includes four short double-helical elements and three loops (D, anti-codon, and T loops). The record is from RNAcentral.